Clupea harengus (Atlantic herring) is the source of this 310-nucleotide long non-coding RNA. The record is from Ensembl. NCBI's taxonomy places the organism in Eukaryota, Metazoa, Chordata, Actinopteri, Clupeiformes, Clupeidae.
UGAACACGUACAGGUCAUACGUGAACACUCUAGAACUGAACACGUACAGGUCAUACGUGAACACUCUAGAGCUGAACACGUACAGGGGCCCCGGGGCCCCGGCUCAAGCCCUGAUCUCUGGCCAAACCUUGACCUCAGUGAAGACUGCUCAGUAAUCCAGAGCAGAGGUGACAGUUUAUCAGCAGCUGAUUUAGAAUUCAUACAUCCAUUGGACCACGGUGAAGAUGGCUGUGAUAUGGGCUGUGCUAGUGUCUGUGCCUGUGUUGUUUUUCUGUGGAUGGUGGACCUUCAUUGAUUCCUUGACCUUGAC